GACAGAGGGUGCUAGCGUUGUUCGGAAUGACUGGGCGUAAAGGGCGCGUAGGCGGUUUUUCAAGUCAGAUGUGAAAGCCCCCGGGCUUAACCUGGGAACUGCAUUUGAUACUGGAAGACUGGAGUACGAGAGAGGAAAGCGGAAUUCCUAGUGUAGAGGUGAAAUUCGUAGAUAUUAGGAGGAACACCAGAGGCGAAGGCGGCUUUCUGGCUCGUAACUGACGCUGAGGCGCGAAAGCGUGGGGAGCAAACAGG
RNAcentral lists this ribosomal RNA (254 nucleotides) under uncultured bacterium. RNAcentral describes it as "partial 16S ribosomal RNA". It matches the Rfam family "Bacterial small subunit ribosomal RNA", at positions 524 to 776 of the family's 1533-position model. The record is from RNAcentral.